GAUUGCUAUGACGACUCCAUAAAUUUCAAGCUCAACAGACCAGAUCACAGGUCUCUCUCUCGAGGGAUUUGUAUGUCGAUACCCCGCUGAACCGAGCAAUC
This 101-nucleotide small nucleolar RNA is filed under the name Ananas comosus (pineapple). RNAcentral describes it as "Small nucleolar RNA Z107/R87". It matches the Rfam family "Small nucleolar RNA Z107/R87". From Rfam's summary of the family: Z107 and R87 are members of the C/D class of snoRNA which contain the C (UGAUGA) and D (CUGA) box motifs. Most of the members of the box C/D family function in directing site-specific 2'-O-methylation of substrate RNA The record is from Rfam by way of RNAcentral. Lineage: Eukaryota; Viridiplantae; Streptophyta; Magnoliopsida; Poales; Bromeliaceae.